GAUGAACGCUAGCGGCAGGCCUAAUACAUGCAAGUCGAACGAGAUUACGAGGCUUGCUUCUUAUGAAAGUGGCGCACGGGUGCGUAACGCGUAUGCAACCUACCUUAAUCAGGGGGAUAGCCCGAAUAAAUUCGGAUUAAGACCGCAUAAAAACACAGUAUAGCAUUAUCCAAUGUUCAAAUAUUUAUAGGAUUAAGAUGGGCAUGCGUGUCAUUAGCUAGUUGGCGGGGUAACGGCACACCAAGGCGACGAUGACUAGGGGAUCUGAGAGGAUGACCCCCCACACUGGUACUGAGACACGGACCAGACUCCUACGGGAGGCAGCAGUAAGGAAUAUUGGGCAAUGGAGGGAACUCUGAACCAGCCAUGCCGCGUGCAGGAAGACAGCCCUCUGGGUCGUAAACUGCUUUUAUUCGGGAAUAAACCUUUUUACGUGUAGGAAGCUGAAUGUACCGAAGGAAUAAGGAUCGGCUAACUCCGUG
RNAcentral lists this ribosomal RNA (482 nucleotides) under uncultured bacterium. RNAcentral describes it as "partial 16S ribosomal RNA". It matches the Rfam family "Bacterial small subunit ribosomal RNA", at positions 28 to 507 of the family's 1533-position model. The record is from RNAcentral.